Long non-coding RNA from Agrilus planipennis (emerald ash borer), 783 nucleotides. RefSeq lists it as uncharacterized. The transcript has 4 exons. The record is from RefSeq and is a predicted model, not a curated record. NCBI's taxonomy places the organism in Eukaryota, Metazoa, Arthropoda, Insecta, Coleoptera, Buprestidae.
AUCUAUGGAUCUUCCGAUUCGUCUACUUUUGUGGUCUUGUCUCCAUACCUUUGUGUAUCUAUUAUCUAUGCUCCAUACUUUGGUUUUCGACAACGACGACCGAUCCUUUUUGCUGUCCACAAAAGAAAAUUACACCUAAAGAGUUGCUUUGAGAUGACAUCCUUGGAUUCGAUGGACAUACAUUCAGAGAUGUUUUUAUUUCCAAGAGUACUUUUAAUCAUCUGGUUAAAAAAUCACAACAGAGGAUGCUAUCAAUGCAUUUUUCCAUUAAAACAUCAGAAAUGUACAUGGAGAGAGAGGGUAAAUUAAAAGUACUCAAAACAUGGUGAAGCGCAGCCCCAUUUACGUUUCUUUCUCUUAAGCUUGGAAAGGGAUGUCAUUUAAACAUAUUAAAUGAACAAGGAGACAAAGAAGGAUUGGAGAAGUGGAGCCGUUUUAAUACUCCCUCGGACUUGAUGGUGUUUAUAGAAAACAUGCAGUCUAAUUUACAGUGAUGUAUGCGAUGUUCUGUCUGCCUGUUAUCUGGCUCAUUUCAUCCUCUAGAAAAGCAAUUGCUUUUCUGUGAUUUUAAAAUGACUUAUUCAUAGUAAUUCGCCUUCUUUGGCAUCUAUGGUUUUACUUCUAGCAGUUAUCUAUUGUCCGCAGCAUAAAUUAACGUCAUCCUGCAUUUAUGGAGUUUUCUUCUAACAGUUAUCUAUUGUCAGAAUACCACAGAAUAAAUUAAUGUUAUAGUUCAUCUGUGGUUACUUGUAUUGCUUUUAACAUUUUUCUAUGUAAUGAAUA